Molecule: non-coding RNA, 136 nt
Organism: Hordeum vulgare subsp. vulgare (domesticated barley)
Lineage: Eukaryota; Viridiplantae; Streptophyta; Magnoliopsida; Poales; Poaceae
Source: Rfam
GAAGUACUCCCUCUGUUCUAAAAUUCUUGUCUUAGAUUUGUUUAGAUAUGAAUGUAUCUAGUUAUGUUUUAGUAUUUUGAUACAUUCAUUUUUAGACAAGCUUAAGACAAGAAUUUUGAGACGGAGGGCGUACAAA